Molecule: ribosomal RNA, 497 nt
Filed under: uncultured bacterium
Lineage: Bacteria
Description: partial 16S ribosomal RNA
Rfam family: Bacterial small subunit ribosomal RNA
Source: RNAcentral
GAUGAACGCUGGCGGCGUGCCUAAUACAUGCAAGUCGAGCGAACAGACGAGGAGCUUGCUCCUCUGACGUUAGCGGCGGACGGGUGAGUAACACGUGGAUAACCUACCUAUAAGACUGGGAUAACUUCGGGAAACCGGAGCUAAUACCGGAUAAUAUAUUGAACCGCAUGGUUCAAUAGUGAAAGACGGUUUUGCUGUCACUUAUAGAUGGAUCCGCGCCGCAUUAGCUAGUUGGUAAGGUAACGGCUUACCAAGGCAACGAUGCGUAGCCGACCUGAGAGGGUGAUCGGCCACACUGGAACUGAGACACGGUCCAGACUCCUACGGGAGGCAGCAGUAGGGAAUCUUCCGCAGUGGGCGAAAGCCUGACGGAGCAACGCCGCGUGAGUGAUGAAGGUCUUCGGAUCGUAAAACUCUGUUAUUAGGGAAGAACAGAUGUGUAAGUAACUAUGCACGUCUUGACGGUACCUAAUCAGAAAGCCACGGCUAACUACGUG